UGCCAGCCGCCGCGGUAAUACGGAGGGUGCAAGCGUUAUCCGGAAUUACUGGGUUUAAAGGGUGCGUAGGCGGGCUAUUAAGUCAGAGGUGAAAGCUAUAAGCUUAACUUGUAAAUUGCCUUUGAUACUGAUAGUCUUGAAUUAGGUUGAGGUUAGCGGAAUGUGGCAUGUAGCGGUGAAAUGCAUAGAUAUGCCAUAGAACACCAAUUGCGAAGGCAGCUGGCUAGGCCUUAAUUGACGCUGAGGCACGAAAGCGUGGGGAGCGAACAGGAUUAGAUA
Molecule: ribosomal RNA, 279 nt
Filed under: uncultured bacterium
Lineage: Bacteria
Description: partial 16S ribosomal RNA
Rfam family: Bacterial small subunit ribosomal RNA
Source: RNAcentral